This 300-nucleotide long non-coding RNA is filed under the name Triticum aestivum (bread wheat). RNAcentral's name for it is "long non-coding RNA (TAES_LNC021228)". The record is from RNAcentral. Lineage: Eukaryota; Viridiplantae; Streptophyta; Magnoliopsida; Poales; Poaceae.
GGCGUAGUAGGUGUUGACUGCAGGUUUUUUUUUUUUGAGACAAAGGUGUUGACUGCAGGUGCGUGCGGCGGGCAGGGGAAGUGGUGAAUUGGGGUUGAGUAACCUGGGCAUCUCUCGGGACGGGCUCUUAAAAGCCCGACGCUACAAUGUGAAGCCUGAGCCCGGAAAAAGCCCCCAAGAGUUUUUUAGAUUUAUAAGCCCGAGCCCGGCCCGGAUGAAAAGCCCAAAGCCCGGCUGCUCCUGGUAUACAGCACAUUGAACAUCAACGUUUUACAAAACAGCAGAAUAAUAACAUCAUAU